AAAACUUUAAUUAUAUAAUAAUAUACCUCCCCUCUCCCGAACAAAUACAUUUCAUCACCGUCUGAUAAGAAUUAACUAUAUCCAAAAUUGUAAUUAAAAAAAUGAGUGAUAUUUCAUCAAAAACACUCCGUAUAAAAACAUCGCUAAGUAAAAAAAAUCACUUAAAUUACAAAAGUUGUGAUAUUAAAAUUUGGCUAAGUAAUUUCAUAAAUUCAUUAAUAUUGAAGUAUUUAUAACGUGUUUGUAUUUAAUGUACCUUGUGUAUUUAUUUGGUGCAAAUAAUAUUUUACUUAACUUGGCACAGUUACUAUUAUUUAUGUCUCUACAGCUAAGAAACCAAAUGCACUAUGUCUCGAUUUCUACAUAACUAUACGCAUCAUUUUUAUUAUUGUUAAACUACAGAACAAUACAUCUAUUUAAAUACAUCUUUCUAAUAACCGCCAAGCUAAGUAAAAUAUUAUUUGCACCUAAUAAAUACACAAGGUACAUUAAAUACAAACAGUUAUAAAUAGGUACUUCUAUAUUAAUGAAUUUAUGAAAUUACUUAGCCAAUUUUUAAUAUCACAACUUUUGUAAUUUAAGUGAUUAUUUUUACUUAACGAUGUUUUUACACGGAGUGUUUUUGAUGAGAUAUAUACCUACAGGAAUGAAUGAAAAAAUAUAAGUAUAUUUGAUCACUGAUUACAACGGAUAAAUUUUUCUCAGGCGCUCAGGGGAUACUGAUUUUCGACGCAGCCAAGUAGUUGGAGUGCCAAACUAUUUCAAAAUCACUAUGGAAUUAUUCAAAUACUUGUACAUUGUUAUCACCUAACAACUAACAUAAGUCACUGAGCAGUCAGCAUAAUUGAAAACAAAAAAUGAAAUAUAAAAUUUGUUAAAGCUUUAAAAAAUUUACUAAAAAGCUAGUGUUCUUAAUGGGAAUUUAUUUUAAAUAUUAGUUUCUUCUUUUUUUUUUUUACUAUUGUGCCAUCAAUUUCUUUUAUAGUCAGUUUAUAGUUACUUAAUAAUAAUUUGUAUACAAAGAAUAUUUAAUAUUUUAAUAAUUAGUUUAAAAUAUUUAUUGAAUAACUAUAUUAGGUAAUCAUGUAUUUAUGUUUGAACUUAAUUAACACAUGUUCAACAUAGGUAUAUAGCAACAAACGACUAUUAAAAUUUAAAAGAUAACAUCAGUCAAUGAUAUACAAAAAUUAUAAAAAUUAAAUAUUUAAUAAAUUACAGUCUUAUAGAA
Long non-coding RNA from Rhopalosiphum padi (bird cherry-oat aphid), 1228 nucleotides. RefSeq lists it as uncharacterized. The transcript is spliced from 2 exons. Lineage: Eukaryota; Metazoa; Arthropoda; Insecta; Hemiptera; Aphididae. The record is from RefSeq and is a predicted model, not a curated record.